Non-coding RNA from Nicotiana tabacum (common tobacco), 1146 nucleotides. Lineage: Eukaryota; Viridiplantae; Streptophyta; Magnoliopsida; Solanales; Solanaceae. The record is from RefSeq and is a predicted model, not a curated record.
CUUCUUCCUUAGACGGCAAACUCAUCUACUCAAUUUAAUUCAGACCUAUUUUCUUCCAAUAAUAAAUUUUAGAACCUGAAGAAUUAAUAUCUAGCAAAGCAAGAACAAGAUUUCAGCAAUAGCUAUAACUAAAAAUUUACUCUUUUGGUCAUGGAAGAUGUGGUACAAAAAGAUCUAUUUUUUCACAUUCAAGAAGACUCUACCGAGUUCUUUCAAAAAUGUCCGAUAAAAUUGGAACGAUACAGAGAAGAUUUCAGUACGACACUGCUAGAUAAUGCAACUGAUUAUCCUUUAUCCGGCGAUGAAGCAGCUGAUAUUAGGAUGCCAUCAACUAGGAAAAGUAGGAGAGUAGCAAAGAAUUAAGAGAGUAAUUUCAGUGCCAAUUAGCUAAUGCAAUGGAUCAAGAAGUUAUAAAGGAGAAGUUUAUCCUACGUCUGAUUCUUGGUCUUGGAGAAAGUAUGGCCAAAAGCCAAUUAAAGGAUCACCUUAUCCCAGAUACGAGGCUUCCAGAGACCAAUUCAUGACGCAAGAGCAUAGCGGAGUAAAGAAUUACACGAUUUGAGGUAAGUAACACUUCUAAACUUGGUUCUGAGAGUACAAAUCCCUGAAUUUCGUGUUGUAUGAAUUGUUUGGAGAUGACGUACAUGCUAGGCGACAUGCGUGUGGGUGUGCAUCAUGGAAAUUGUAAAUUAAAUUAAUUCUGUGGAGUUGCAUAGUUGAAUAAAUGUCAUUAUCCGCAUAACCUCCACAUGUUAGGAAAAUUGAGCUGGGACUCAUAUUAAAGAUCAUGUUUAGGCUACACUCGAUAUAUUUCGGGACCCUUAUGGGUCGUAUUGAUGUUGAAUUAUUUGUUUAAAUUUAUAAUUUUAUACUCAGUCAUAUUUAUCACUUGCAUAUCAUUUCUCAAUCUCUGUUGUCAUUCAUUGACACUUCAUAUCAUCAUAUCGGGUUGAUUUUCAUGUCAUUGAGAGCCCGAGAGACUGGAGAUUUUGAGUGAUAGUUUUGUUUAUUUAUUUAUGCCUGGAUAUGGAUAUUAUAGCACUUGGGCUGAAUGAGGCCCUCAGGAGUCUUCACCCCUCAGAGUGAGCGCAGUUGAUAUAUAUAUCUGGGAUGGAUCUUCCCUGGGCAUGGUUUGAGUCGGGUGAG